CCACAUGCUAAGAAUACAAGGUUUGUGUGAACACCAUUUUCUUUUUUUCUUUUUUUUUUGAGAGACAGGUACGAAAAUAAGUUGCUUCUUUGAACCCAACCCGUUCCCAUUAGGGAUGUCAAUGGCUAUGGAUACCCGAAAUUUUAUCCGAACCCGAAUCCGAAUAAAACGGAUAUAUCCGAUGCUAAAUGGAUAUGGAUUCGGAUAUGGAUAUCAAAAAUAGAAACCCGACGGAUAUGGAUUCGGAUAUGGAUUUUGAUUGUACCCGACCCGAACCCGAACCCGAACCC
RNAcentral lists this long non-coding RNA (290 nucleotides) under Ananas comosus (pineapple). Its description in RNAcentral is "long non-coding RNA (ACOM_LNC014828)". Lineage: Eukaryota; Viridiplantae; Streptophyta; Magnoliopsida; Poales; Bromeliaceae. The record is from RNAcentral.